This 400-nucleotide long non-coding RNA is filed under the name Capsella rubella. RNAcentral's name for it is "long non-coding RNA (CRUB_LNC002718)". The record is from RNAcentral. Lineage: Eukaryota; Viridiplantae; Streptophyta; Magnoliopsida; Brassicales; Brassicaceae.
GCAUGGCGACAUGUACGAAGUAUAUGAUGUCAUGUGCUCAACACCCUACACAUAAAAUCUCAGUUUACCGAACGAUUUACUCUGGCAUUGACCCAGCGUUGACUCAUCAGAACCAAAAACGAUAACCGAUCGGUUUAACUAACCAAAAUUUAUGACCCGAUCCGGUUUAAUUUUCUGGGUCAAAAUUAUUGGGCCUUAAUUUAACCAAAUAUUUUGGCCUUUUUACUCUAAAACCACAGACGAAAAGAAAUUAAUUUGUUACCAUAAUUAUUGAUUUCUUUCGAAUAUACCAAAAUCUUUCCUCUGCAACUCCUAAAAGCUAAAAUCCUCAGACAGAAAAAUAAAAGAGAGAACUUGUUGUGGCAGUUGAAGCAGAAAAAAAAAAAAAAAAAAAAAAAAA